Molecule: transfer RNA, 73 nt
Filed under: bacterium
Lineage: Bacteria
Also listed under: 1 other name
Description: tRNA-Gly
Rfam family: tRNA
About the family: Transfer RNA (tRNA) molecules are approximately 80 nucleotides in length. Their secondary structure includes four short double-helical elements and three loops (D, anti-codon, and T loops).
Source: RNAcentral
GCGGAUGUAGCUCAGUUGGUAGAGCGACACCUUGCCAAGGUGUAGGUCGCCGGUUCGAGCCCGGUCAUCCGCU